UAGGGAAUAUUGGGCAAUGGAUGCAAGUCUGACCCAGCCAUGCCGCGUGCCGGAUGAAGGCCCUCAGGGUUGUAAACGGCUUUUAUUCGGGAAGAAGAGCAGGGGUGCGCCCUUGUGUGACGGUACCGAAUGAAUAAGCACCGGCUAACUCCGUGCCAGCAGCCGCGGUAAUACGGAGGGUGCGAGCGUUGUCCGGAUUUAUUGGGUUUAAAGGGUGCGUAGGUGGCUGAUUAAGUCAGUGGUGAAAUACAGCCGCUCAACGGUUGAGGUGCCAUUGAUACUGAUCAGCUUGAAAGAAUUGGAGGCUGCCGGAAUGGAUGGUGUAGCGGUGAAAUGCAUAGAUAUCAUCCAGAACACCGAUUGCGAAGGCAGGUGGCUACGAUUUAUUUGACACUGAGGCACGAAAGCAUGGGGAGCAAAC
Molecule: ribosomal RNA, 421 nt
Filed under: uncultured bacterium
Lineage: Bacteria
Description: bacterial SSU rRNA
Rfam family: Bacterial small subunit ribosomal RNA
Source: RNAcentral